RNAcentral lists this ribosomal RNA (245 nucleotides) under uncultured Schwartzia sp. Its description in RNAcentral is "partial 16S ribosomal RNA". It matches the Rfam family "Bacterial small subunit ribosomal RNA", at positions 524 to 769 of the family's 1533-position model. The record is from RNAcentral. Lineage: Bacteria; Bacillati; Bacillota; Negativicutes; Selenomonadales; Selenomonadaceae.
UACGUAGGCGGCAAGCGUUGUCCGGAAUCAUUGGGCGUAAAGGGAGCGCAGGUGGGACGGUAAGUCUUUCUUAAAAGUGCGGGGCUCACCCCCGUGAGGGGAAAGAAACUAUCGUUCUUGAGUGCAGGAGAGGAAAGCGGAAUUCCUAGUGUAGCGGUGAAAUGCGUAGAUAUUAGGAAGAACACCAGUGGCGAAGGCGGCUUUCUGGACUGUAACUGACACUGAGGCUCGAAAGCCAGGGGAGC